This 463-nucleotide ribosomal RNA is filed under the name uncultured bacterium. RNAcentral describes it as "partial 16S ribosomal RNA". It matches the Rfam family "Bacterial small subunit ribosomal RNA", at positions 28 to 507 of the family's 1533-position model. The record is from RNAcentral.
GAUGAACGCUGACGGAAUGCUUAACACAUGCAAGUCGAUGGGGAAGUGGUGCUUGCACCAUGGCAACCAUGGCGGACGGGUGAGUAACGCGUAAGGGACUUACCUGCAGGACUGGGAUAACAGGGGGAAACUCCUGACAAGACCGGAUAAUGUCAUGGAGCUGCAUGGCUUUAUGAUGAAAGGAGACGCCUGCGGAGAGCCUUGCGUCCUAUUAGCUAGUUGGUGAGGUAAUGGCUCACCAAGGCGAAGAUAGGUAGCCGGCCUGAGAGGGUGGACGGCCACAAGGGGACUGAGAUACGGCCCUUACUCCUACGGGAGGCAGCAGUGGGGAAUAUUGGACAAUGGGGGCAACCCUGAUCCAGCAAUUCUGUGUGCACGAAGAAGGUUUUCGGAUUGUAAAGUGCUUUCAGCAGGGAAGAAGUAAGUGACGGUACCUGCAGAAGAAGCGACGGCUAAAUACGUG